CUGCGCCACAAGUGGCAAUCACUUUUAUUGGGCCUAAAGCGUCCGUAGCCGGUUUAGUAAAUUCUUUGUGAAAUUGUUAUGCUCAACAUACCAGUGUGCAGAGAAGACUGCUAGACUUGGAACCGGGAGGAGUCAGAAGUAUUUUCGGGGGAGCGGUAAAAUGCUAUAAUCCCGAAAGGACUACCAGUGGCGAAGGCGUCUGACUAGAACGGAUUCGACGGUGAGGGACGAAAGCUAGGGGAGCAAAACGGAUUAGAGACCCGAGUAGUCC
RNAcentral lists this ribosomal RNA (271 nucleotides) under uncultured archaeon. RNAcentral's name for it is "partial 16S ribosomal RNA". It matches the Rfam family "Archaeal small subunit ribosomal RNA", at positions 477 to 747 of the family's 1478-position model. The record is from RNAcentral.